CAAGGCGACGAUCCCUAGCUGGUCUGAGAGGAUGACCAGCCACACUGGAACUGAGACACGGUCCAGACUCCUACGGGAGGCAGCAGUGGGGAAUAUUGCACAAUGGGCGCAAGCCUGAUGCAGCCAUGCCGCGUGUAUGAAGAAGGCCUUCGGGUUGUAAAGUACUUUCAGCGGGGAGGAAGGUGUUGUGGUUAAUAACCGCAGCAAUUGACGUUACCCGCAGAAGAAGCACCGGCUAACUCCGUGCCAGCAGCCGCGGUAAUACGGAGGGUGCAAGCGUUAAUCGGAAUUACUGGGCGUAAAGCGCACGCAGGCGGUCUGUCAAGUCGGAUGUGAAAUCCCCGGG
RNAcentral lists this ribosomal RNA (346 nucleotides) under Salmonella enterica subsp. enterica serovar Typhimurium. RNAcentral's name for it is "bacterial SSU rRNA". It matches the Rfam family "Bacterial small subunit ribosomal RNA", at positions 269 to 607 of the family's 1533-position model. The record is from RNAcentral. Lineage: Bacteria; Pseudomonadati; Pseudomonadota; Gammaproteobacteria; Enterobacterales; Enterobacteriaceae.